UUUUCUUCUUCUAUCUUCGUAGCUGUUGAACGUUUUCUGACUUUUCCACUUCUUCUUCCAUUCCCAUUAACUUAAACCAUUAUUUCACUCAUCAAAACAAAAACAGCUUAACUCACAUCACCCUUCCACUUCCCUAUCCCACUCUAUAUAAGACGAUGUCGUCAUAUGAAGCCUUCACACUGCUCAAACCACCACCAAAAACCCACCUUAAGCUACAUUGGCGAACACAUAUUCUUUCAGUUCCACAGUUACAUGUGAAGAAUCUUAUAUUGCAAGAGAAGCGGCUGGUUCAUUUUCCCCAGAGCUCAGGUAUGGUGAUGAUCGUGAGGAAACAGUCGAUUCCGAGGAAGACAAUAACUACUGGUACUCUUUAACAGUUCAUACAAACGAUUUUUUUCCUCAUUAAUUGUUUUUCGUUGAUGGUUCUAUUUACCUAAAGUAUGAUGUGCUAUGAUGAUUUUAUUUUCUUAAUGAACUCUUGAAAAAAUCACUCUUUAUGCCUUCUUGCGAUGAUUAACUUAAAAGGAACUUCUCCUGGUGGCUUGGUUGAGGCAUGUUUCCCUUCAUGCAGGUCUCUGAACGUAUCCUUCUGAUUCAAAUUGUUGCAAGAUGCAACACCUAAAGCAUUCCGACAAUUGGGUACUGACAUGUUCACUUUCCUUUGGCAGUUGAAGAGGCCAUGUUCUACUACAUUGCUGCUUUUUCCCCUAGUAUGUAUCACCAGACUCCAUACAGUAGGCAUAUGAACAUGCCGCUGCAAACACCAAGGUAAACGGAGGCUGAGCUAUGAUCCUUUACUACAACCAAGUUCAUUGAUACUGCUCACAUAUCUGGCAGUGUCCUAGAGUAAUCAUUGGAGAUGUAGAGAUAAGCAAGACUCUUGCUUGAACCAAGUACAUGGAGUAUGUUUUGGAAUGAGACUGAGGCAAGAAUCUGCAGGGUUCACGGCUGGGAGACAAUACAAGACGACUCUUGUGAUCACACAAGUUGCAGAUCAUGUGGUUUUUCGCCACCGAUGGAAAGGUGGAGAAGUACCCAGUCAUUCAUCUCCCAAGGAGAAGCGGUUUUAAUAGGCUAUGAUCUCAAAACUAGAACCUGUCAAAGAAGAUAACUUGGAGAUUAAAUCAGUGGGAGCAAUGGAGGAACGUGAUGUGAACCUUAAUUCUGAGGUACCCCUUCUGCUAUUAAUCUGCUCAACCCGGUUUUUCUCAAGACUAAGUAUAACCAAACACACUACGACGAUCUUGCCUCCAAAUGUCUUUCAAGGGUACAAAUUUAACAUCCUUUACCCGGAUUUCGUAGACAAGAUCAAAGCUCCCAUUUAAAAAAUAGAAAAAAUUGGGACCAGCGCUGAAACUUAUAUAAACCGGUUCCAUACUGGUACGCCUUACGAAGACAUUGCAAGUAUUCAGAACCAUUAAUUCUGCCAUUUCAUCAUAACCCCUAUGUUAUCUUGGUGAUCAAUUUUUUCUCCCAUAGAUGUGGUUUCUAUGUUAUUUUCCCCUUUGUGCAACUGAGUUUCGUUUGUAGCUUCAUUUGGGUUAUUGGGUUAGGUUUUACAUACUCAAUCUGGGGUGGCCAAACAUUAAUUUAAGGAUGUAUAUGCUGAUAUCUGUUAGAAAUGUAUAAAUAUGAUGGUC
This is a long non-coding RNA of Brassica oleracea var. oleracea, 1640 nucleotides long. RefSeq lists it as uncharacterized. NCBI's taxonomy places the organism in Eukaryota, Viridiplantae, Streptophyta, Magnoliopsida, Brassicales, Brassicaceae. The transcript is spliced from 4 exons. The record is from RefSeq and is a predicted model, not a curated record.